Microcebus murinus (gray mouse lemur) is the source of this 761-nucleotide non-coding RNA. Lineage: Eukaryota; Metazoa; Chordata; Mammalia; Primates; Cheirogaleidae. The record is from RefSeq and is a predicted model, not a curated record.
GGGCCUCGCCGCUGCGUAAGGAGACGUGGAAUCGUUCCGCGGUGCUGGCUGGGACCAGAGGCGGGGAGCAAGUGCGAGACAUUUCAGAGACGAAAGACGGGGCUCGAUGAAUGACUGGUACGAGCACGCAGGAUGAGUCAGAGAUGACUUGGAGGUUGCCAGCUGGGGCGAGGGAACAAACUCGCUGCCUGCCGAGGAGAGGAAGGCGCGAGGCUGAAGGCGAAGACGCGCGGUCCGGCUGUGCGCGCGCGGCGUGGCAUUGUGCUAAGUUGCUAUGGUCCGGAGCCUCAGUUUCCUCAUCUGCGAAAUGAAGAAGACAGCAUCGGUGUAACCGGGGGAUUGCGGUGUCCGAAUGACUUAAGCCUGUGAAAUGUCCAGGGACAUGCGUGGCGCCUGGUUCUUCCUGUGGCCAGCUUCUACUCAUUCUCUCAGGAAAUCUUACCCCGAAGCAUUAACAGCAACAGCUCUGGAGCCGGUCAUCUGGGUUCAGAUCCACGUUCUGCCUCCUUGAGCAAGGCAAAGGCUCUGUGUGGCACAGCGGACGGAGGGUCGUGAGGAUUGAACGAGCUGGUGCACGUAGUCUCAGAAUGAUGCUUCACCCACGGAAGUGUGUGUAAGAGUUAGCUAUUAUUAUUAGUCAACAAUAAUACGUCACCUCCCGUUAGAAUGAAUAGUCCCCCACCCACCCCAGUCAUUCUCUCCCCUCACCACUGUCCGAAACUGUAUUAUUGAUUUGUUUGCUUGUUUACUGUUUCCCUCCC